This is a long non-coding RNA of Ostrea edulis (European flat oyster), 3387 nucleotides long. RefSeq lists it as uncharacterized. The transcript has 6 exons. Lineage: Eukaryota; Metazoa; Mollusca; Bivalvia; Ostreida; Ostreidae. The record is from RefSeq and is a predicted model, not a curated record.
AAACAUAUCUACGAAGAGACCAUUGGUGCCGGAAAUAUCUCUGUCUUUAGUAGUGUCCGCGAGGUAUAUUAAUUUAUAAAACAUGAGAUAUUAGUACCAUAUUGCCCGGGAAUCAAAAGAUUUUUGCAAGAUCGAUUCAAGAAACGGACUCUAUCUGGAAAAGGAAAACAAUAUCAAAGCUCCUCUGUGAGAAGUUGGCCAAGGAAAGCAUUCAGAAGAAAGUGGAGAUUCAUUGUUUUUACCAGAUCCAGUAGAUCACAGAAAGCAUCUAGUAGGGGAGGUCUACAGAUCGAAGCAUGCCAAAUGUGUAAAGAACAAGUUUCCAGGAUUAAGCCAGCCAGUAGAUGAGACUAUUAUAUCAAAAAUACAUUUACUUGUACACGAGGGCAGGACACAAAGCGUUGAUGAAACAAAAAGACAUUUCCGUCUGUUUGUAAAGGAUACUAUUUCACCAGGGAACACCAUCUCAGAAUUUAACAGAUGCUUUUACCCCGCCAAUAAGGAUGUAAGAAAUCACAUUUACAGGGCACCGAGAUUUUGCCAGGUAGUUUAGAACUGUGUGCAUUGGUUUUGGAAGAAUUUGGGCUGUUUAGGCUAAAAUCCAUUAUGAUUGGACAGAAUAUGAACACACACAUCCAAUACUUCAAAGAUAUUAUGUUUGUGGAGGCAGAGAUUUUGAUUGCAUCCACUGUUUAGAAUACAUCCUUAAGGGAAGCAGACUGCCGCCUUUACCCAAUGAUAUAAUGAUUAAUCAUAACUAUAUCUGUUUUGUACCAAAUAGAAAGAGCAUUGAUUCAGGUCAUUUUCAAAUCCACUGGCAUACAUUGUACUAUACAUGCAACCUUUUCAAACUUUACAUUUAAGAUUUUAUAAAGGAAAUAUCUUAAUGUUUCACAUGUUUACCUUUCACUGUGCUAUGUAAUUCAUUAUACCUGCCAUUAUGCCAGUCUUCCUGAACAUAAUUUGUUUUCUGCAAUUUCAUUGGCCAAGAGGCUUAAUCCUGGGUUAUCAGAUUGAGCAUUUAUAUUUAGUAUCCCAUUGAUUUUGUCAGCCCUAUAUAAGGAGCUGACUCAGAUUUACUCACUCUGCUAGGUUAAAGAACUCUAAGGUUUGUACUUUUCACAUGAAUUUCGUGUUCGCCUCUUAUCUUUUACAUAGAGUAGGAAAUGAACAUAACAUUGAGUUAGGGAACAAUUUAGAUUUUACAUUAUAAUAUGUAAAUACCUUAGCAGAGUCAAUUUACUUGGUUCAGGGUAGUAUCAGAUAUUACUUUUUCAAAGUUUAAGUGUUUAGGCUAUCUCAAUGUUUCUAUAGUUAGCCUUGUCCUAUGUUACUUUUAGAUGUAUGGAAGCCUUUUAGUGUUAUAACACUAUAUUUAUGCCCCCAUUCAAAGAAGAGGGGCAUAUUGGUUUGCACCUGUUGGUCGGUCGGUAGACCACAUGUUGUCCGCUUAAUAUCUUAAGAACCAUUCACUUGAUCGUAAUAUAUUUCAUAUGUGGGUUGGUUAUGAAAAGAAGAGGACCCCAAUUGUUUUUCUGGUCGAAAUGUCAAGGGUCAAUCUACUCUGGACAUAGGAAGACACUGCCUGCUCAAUAUCUUGAGAACCCUUUGCUUGACAGACAUCAAACUUGGUACACUGGUACAUCUCAAGGAGUAGAUUUGAGGUCACAUGGUCAAAAGUCAAGGGGUAAACUGGACAUAGUAAUAUAUUGUCUCUUAUGUUUUAAGAAUUAUUUGCUUGAUUGACACCAAACCUGGUACAGCAUAAGGAGUAGAUGACCCCUAUUGAUUUUUAGGUCACUUGGUCAAUCCACUCCUGACACAGGAAGAUAUUGUUUGCUCAAUAUUUCGAAUUGAUGACACUACUAUCAAUCAAAUUAUGCAUGUGUAUAACCCUUUUCAAUUUUGCACCAUGGGGGCUUAUAUGUUUUACAAACACCUCAUGUUUUAUAGUUUGUGAAAGAUUGUUAGGGUCAUAACUUUAGAUUUUCUUAUUAUGGUACUUGCCCGUCAGAGACUGGACAUAUUAUGGUAUGGUGUUGUCUGUCCGGACCUUGUAAGAUGGGAUACAGACUGAACCGUAAGCUCCAGAAUCUUACAACUUGGUACAUUUGAUCACCAUAAAAGGAAGAUGCUUAUUGUUUUUUAAGGUCAAGGUUGUAGGUUCACUUAAUAGGAAAACCUUGUUUGAGAAAAUUACAGAUUCUUGAACUGAGUAUUUUGAGGAAACAUUACAUAGAAAGUACAUGAUUUGUCAAAUUUCUCCCAAUAUUCAACUGAGAACCUUAUUCUGCAGAGUAUUUGUAUGGGUAUGGAAAAUGUGUAUGUGGCUAUGAUUUUGAUUUUUGUUUAAUUUUUUUUUUUUUUUUGAAAAUUACAGGUUUAACCGAGUCAGUUUUUGAGGAAAUAUAUAUGUAUUAAAUAAAUGACGGUUUGACCUUUUAACUCCUCUCACAGUUUUGAAACUAGGGUCUUUGUAAAUAACUUCUUUGGUGUUUUAGAAUAUUUACAGAUUGUUGAUCAUGGUAAAUUUUGGGGAAAUAUUUUCCGCAGAGCUCUAGUUGUCUAUCUACCGGCCUCCUGUCACUUUUAAGUUUAGGAGCUUUUAUUCAUGGAAAGAAAGUAUGUGACAGCCUGAUGAUGGCUGAUACUAUUUAAAGCCUUUUUAUACGCCCGUCUUAAGACGGGACGUAUUAUGGUAUGGCGUUCAUGUCCGUCCGUCUGUUAGCUUUUUCGUGUCCGACCCGUAACUUAAAUACUACAAGGCCUAGAAUCAUCAAACUUUGUCUGUAGAUGCAUCUUGGGUAGAAGGUGUGUCGCACAUUAAAACCAGGUCACUAUGACUUUUCAUUAAGAAGAUAUCCGUCUGUCCGUCCGUCUGUUAGCUUUUUCGUGUCUGACCCGUAACUUAAAUACUACAAGGCCUAGAAUCAUCAAACUUUGUCUGUAGAUACAUCUUGGGUAGAAGGUGUGUCGCACAUUAAAACCAGGUCACUGUGACUUUUCAUUAAGAAGAUAUGGCCAUAUAUGGCAAAAACUUGUCCGGCUCAUAACUUGAAAACUAUUAGGCCUAGAAUCACCAAAAUUGGUCAACUAAUGCAUCUUAGGUAGAAGGUGUGUCGCAUCCUACUUUAAGGUCACUGUGACAUUUAAUUAAGGUAAUAUAAAAAAAAAAUGUUUUAAUGGGUACAAUCUAUACUGUUAACAAUAUGUGACGGGCGUAUCAUGUGCCGUGGCGGUGCACUUUAUUCUAGAAAUGGCAUCAGAAAAACACCCUAUGUAACCUUUUCUGCUUAUACUCAUUUAUUUUUAUUGGAAAACUUAUUACUUGUUAUCAGCUACUCUAAAACAAUAUUGACUUGUGCUAUAAUAAAUUUGUAAACUUUA